UACGGAGGGUGCAAGCGUUGCUCGGAAUUAUUGGGCGUAAAGCGCACGUAGGCGGUUCGUUAAGUCGGAUGUGAAAGCCCUCGGCUCAACUGAGGAAGUGCACCCGAAACUGGCGAGCUUGAGUACGAAAGAGGAUCGCGGAAUUCCCGGUGUAGAGGUGAAAUUCGUAGAUAUUCGGAAGAACACCAGUGGCGAAGGCGGCUGACUGGACAUGUAUUGACGCUGAGGUGCGAAAGCGUGGGGAGCAAACAGG
RNAcentral lists this ribosomal RNA (253 nucleotides) under uncultured bacterium. RNAcentral's name for it is "partial 16S ribosomal RNA". It matches the Rfam family "Bacterial small subunit ribosomal RNA", at positions 524 to 776 of the family's 1533-position model. The record is from RNAcentral.